This 468-nucleotide ribosomal RNA is filed under the name uncultured bacterium. Its description in RNAcentral is "partial 16S ribosomal RNA". It matches the Rfam family "Bacterial small subunit ribosomal RNA", at positions 28 to 507 of the family's 1533-position model. The record is from RNAcentral.
GACGAACGCUGGCGGCGUGCUUAACACAUGCCAGUCGAACGGAAAGGCCCUGCUUUUGUGUGGUGCUCGAGUGGCGAACGGGUGAGUAACACGUGAGUAACCUGCCCUUGACUUUGGGAUAACUUCAGGCAACUGGGGCUAAUACCGGCUAGGAGCUCCUGCUGCAUGGUGGGGGUUGGAAAGUUUCGGCGGUUGUGGAUGGACUCGCGGCUUAUGAGCUUGUUGGUGGGGUAGUGGCUUACCAAGGCUUUGACGGGUAGCCGGCCUGGGAGGGUGAACGGCCACAAUGGGACUGAGGUAGGGCGCAGAGUCGUACGGGAGGCAGCAGUGGGGAAUAUGACACAGUGGGCGGAAGCGUGAGGCAGCAAUGCUGCGUGCGGGAUGACGGCCUUCGGGUGGGAAACCGCUGUCGCCUGUGACGAAGCGUGAUUGACGGUAAUGGGUGAAGAAGCACCGGCUAACUACGUG